Molecule: non-coding RNA, 2334 nt
Organism: Arachis ipaensis
Lineage: Eukaryota; Viridiplantae; Streptophyta; Magnoliopsida; Fabales; Fabaceae
Source: RefSeq, a predicted model, not a curated record
GCCGUCGAUUUUUAUCAUUAAAAAACACUUACCCCCGUCGACUUCCCGCGUCCAGAGAAUUCAGAAACACAAUUUCCUUUUACCCAAAAUUCCCCAUUUCAGCACCAUCCCGCGUCAUUCUCCGCUGCCGUCGCCACUCCAUCACGGUUGCUUCACCGGCGCUCCUCAACACACACUCUCUCUCAACCAUAAACCCUACUCCAACGCCUUACUCAAAGCAAGGGUUUUCGGCGAGGUAAAACUCCAGCGAGGGAUGACAGGUAGGAGCACGUAAUUUGAAAACACUUACCGUCACUGGUUCCGAAGUUCCCUUUACCAUUGUCGCUGGUUCUACUUGCCGUCGCUGCUAGCUCGUGCUUAUCCAAUGGCCUGGUGAGGGGCUGUUAAGGUGUGGAAAGAGCUGCAGAUUAAGGUGGAUAAAUUAUCUGAGGCCUGAUAUCAAGAGAGGGAAUUUCACCAUUGAAGAAGAAGAAACCAUCAUCAAGCUUCAUGAAAUGCUUGGCAACAGGAAAAUCAUGUUCCAACACCAAUGGUUUCUUCUACAAAACUGACAAAAUUCAUAACAGAAAGGAGUUGAAGAAGAGAUUGAGCAACAUAUUCCAUUUAGUCAUCAGCGACUGCUAUCGAGCAGGAUGAUACGUAUGUUGCCAGCAGCCGGUCUUCCGUUGUAGCUUGUAGCCAAAAGUGUAGCCGUAUCACCAGGAGUGUAGUCACAACUGUCUUGAGUUUGUAGUCCGAUGUAAGACACCUGAUUGACACUUUUGAUCGACAGAAUGAGAUGCUAGUAGAUCUACGAUAUACUAUCGUUAGCCUUAUUUGACAAAAUAAUCAGGGUUUUACUUCGGAGGGUAUCACAAAUGUGUCAUCCGACUAUGUAUGUGGUGGAAAGAAAAGGCUCAAAGAGCAUCAUUCAGACAAAGGUAAGGUAAAAAACGAGUCACAGCGACCCCCACAUGUAGCUUGGAUGGCGCAAAUGACCCUACAUACAUACCACCGCCGAAGACAGAGAUCAGCAUGGAUCACAUGCUAUUUAGGUAGCACAAAGGCAAAGAAGAAAUCCAAUCAGCGAGACAAGGUAUGAAGAAAGAUGUCAGAACAAAAAAUCCCGAAUUGGUAACGUAUUUGAAGUUGAAUACCUUAAAGCUUUUAUUGGGGAUUUUUUUGUUGGAAAUAUUUUUCUGCCAAUCACUAAUCACUUUACUAUCUUCCAUUUAAGAGGUUAUGUUGGUUUAGUGUUGCUAAUUGUGUGUUACUUGCUUUGAAAAUGAUUAAAAUCUUAUUGAACACUAAUAACAGCCAAAUUCUCCUUUUAUGGUAAGGUGACUCUAAGUUUUAAUUUGUUACGAUAUUCAACAAUAUUUAUUACAAGCUGUGAGUACCUUAUGAGACGAAGCUUGACGUGGAUCAAUGUUUGUGAUAGUGAAUUAGGAAAUAUGUGCUGAAAUUUUUUAUCGUGUGCAAAAUAAUUUCUCUAUGUGUCCUUUAAUUGACUACACGGUUGCUUCAUGUUUAGUUUGGCCUAGUCUUUGUAACCUUAUAGGACUCUCAACAACAUCAUCACAAUGUGGGCUACUUUGACUUUCUGGUCAAUGUGUAGUUGUUGCCUGCUGCUGAAUGGUAUUGAUUUAUUAUUAUUACUGUUGUUAUUACCAUUAUUGCCUCAUUAUUAUUGCAUGGUUGUUGUGCUGCAUUUGAAUGUACUUGAAAUAAAGCCUAACGAAGGGAACGACCUUCUUUUAGUUGGAGGAAAAUUAUAAAAUUAUCAGUGUUAUGGUAUAUAUUUUGUCUACAUUUAUUUUCUUAGCUGAAGUAAGUGCUCUGUUGACAUUUGGUUACGUGUAAUUGGCCCUUCUAUAUUAUGUAUGUGAAACUUUCAAAUCCUAGAUUCGAUUAACAGUGUCGUAUUGUUUUUAAGAAUUGAUAUAUACAUAUACAAGCAUGAUGGAAAAAAAUAUUUAAAUGUACUUACAGUUGACUUAUUCCCCAUUAAUGACUCUACAGGUGGACCUCACGACAGAUUCCGUAGGCCAUGAUGAAUUCGUCACGCCAUACGGUCGAAGGGAUACUAAAUGCAAGCUUGACGACGAUAAAUGUUACAACAGAUUCCCAUUGAGGUAUAGUGGUGGAAAGAAACAAAUACUUGAGGUCAUGCUGGUGAAACUAGAUAGGAUCCUAAAGAUGCAGGUUGAGAAGUACCACACUGUGUAUUCUGGAGACUCUGAGAAAGCGAAGAACUCUUGGGACACUGGGUUGUAUUUUGUUUAUGAGUCCUGCUAGGGAGCCAAUGGAAUAUUUGUACAAUGUGUACAAUAGGCUAUAUGAGUUAAAAAAUGA